GAUGAACGCUGGCGGCGUGCCUAAUACAUGCAAGUCGAGCGAACAGACGAGGAGCUUGCUCCUCUGACGUUAGCGGCGGACGGGUGAGUAACACGUGGAUAACCUACCUAUAAGACUGGGAUAACUUCGGGAAACCGGAGCUAAUACCGGAUAACAUGUUGAACCGCAUGGUUUAACAGUGAAAGACGGUCUUGCUGUCACUUAUAGAUGGAUCCGCGCCGCAUUAGCUAGUUGGUAAGGUAACGGCUUACCAAGGCAACGAUGCGUAGCCGACCUGAGAGGGUGAUCGGCCACACUGGAACUGAGACACGGUCCAGACUCCUACGGGAGGCAGCAGUAGGGAAUCUCCCGCAAUGGGCGAAAGCCUGACGGGGCAACGCCGCGUGAGUGAAGAAGGUCUUCGGAUCGUAAAACUCUGUUAUUAGGGAAGAACAAAUGUGUAAGUAACUAUGCACGUCUUGACGGUACCUAAUCAGAAAGCCACGGCUAACUACGUG
This 497-nucleotide ribosomal RNA is filed under the name uncultured bacterium. Its description in RNAcentral is "partial 16S ribosomal RNA". It matches the Rfam family "Bacterial small subunit ribosomal RNA", at positions 28 to 507 of the family's 1533-position model. The record is from RNAcentral.